UACGGAGGGUGCGAGCGUUGUCCGGAAUUACUGGGCGUAAAGCGUGCGUAGUCGGUUAUCUAAGUCAGGUGUGAAAGCCCAGGGCUCAACCUUGGAAUUGCCUUUGAUACUGGCUGUCUUGAGUUCGGGAGAGGUGAGUGGAAUGCCGAGUGUAGAGGUGAAAUUCGUAGAUAUUCGGCGGAACACCAGUGGCGAAGGCGACUCACUGGCCCGAUACUGACGCUGAGGCGCGAAAGCGUGGGGAGCAAACAGG
This 253-nucleotide ribosomal RNA is filed under the name uncultured bacterium. RNAcentral describes it as "partial 16S ribosomal RNA". It matches the Rfam family "Bacterial small subunit ribosomal RNA", at positions 524 to 776 of the family's 1533-position model. The record is from RNAcentral.